This 983-nucleotide long non-coding RNA is filed under the name Helianthus annuus (common sunflower). The record is from RNAcentral. Lineage: Eukaryota; Viridiplantae; Streptophyta; Magnoliopsida; Asterales; Asteraceae.
CAAUCGAUUAUUUGCAUAAAAAAACGUGAAACUUGGCCUUUCGUGUAAUCAACCAUAUUGUUCAAGGGUAUUCAUGAUUCGGUUUUACUCUAUAACAUAACACCCGAGUGUUCUUUUUUAUUCGGUUUGGUUCAGUUUGAUUAAUUUCAGAUUUGGGUUCUAUGUUUAUGAAAGUCUCACGUGACAGCCAAUGAAACCACGUGCACUCCUAUGUUGCAUAUCUCAAUGAAUCUCAAUAUUUUCUGGUCUCAUAUGUGAUAUUUUGGGAUCCGACCCGAAUUCUUCGCUGCCCGAUUUCACUACAGGUUUAAUAUUAUGUCGAUGAACUGGGCUCAACGGAAAAUCUACCUUUACAAUGUCACUUUUGGACUAUACAUGUUGGACCCGUGGGAGCGUUAUUUGUUCAAUGCCGUGGUUGCUGUCUUGAUGUGGUUCAUAUUUUACAAUGGAUACCGUAACCUUGAUGAAAUCUGCAAAAGGUAUAUAUGGUGAAGCUUGAGCAUAGACUUGACUUGAAGAAGAAAAGGAGCCUGCAGUUGAAUGAUUUUUCUUUUAUGGUAACAAUUUCCCUCAUGGUGAACAGAUUUGCAUGUUGUAGCAGAUGUUUGUUUUACAAUGCUGAAGGAUUGAGUGAAUAUCUAAUGGUUUUUUGAAUUGAUAUGUAAAUUAUCGAACAUGAGUUGAUCACAUUUUUAAAACGAGACGGGUGCCAAGCACGCUGGUUGUGGACCGACUUGGGUCGUAUAGACCAAUGGAUGGUUAAUUUUGAUGGAUUAAAUACAGUUAUCUUGGUAAGGAUCAUCAUACAUCUUAACAAAUCAGGGACCACCGAUAAUAAACUAAAGACUUGUGAACAACCAAGCAACAAUAUCUAGCCUGGAUAAGAACCACGUGCCACCAAGUAACAAUAUUUGGCCAGGUUGGGGGAUCGCAUGCCACAUCACGACAACUACUUUAGAUACAACAAACUAGGGACCACCAAU